CUCCAUCAUAAUGUGCCCUCUUUAAUUUUGUUAUGCAUGGCUGGCCCAAGCAAAUUAAAACACAAAAACUUUCUCAAUAGACCAAAAUUUCUUUUUCAAAUUGACACUAAAUUCGUAACAGUGCGACGUAGUUGUGAAGAUUCCGACGAUGUUUAUUACAAAGAUGAUAAGAGAAGAUAUUCAGAGCCAAGCGUCAUUAUUAUUAGCAGUGAUGAGGAAAUUGAUUCGCCCGAAAAGGAAAUAUAUGUGACGUUUUCAACCAAAAGGUACCACAUUGUCGCUUGUCGAUAAGGUUGAUUUCUAAUUGAAGCUAUAUGGAAAGAGCGCCUUACUGACAAGCGACAAUAAGUACCCUUUUGGUUGAAAAUGGCGCAUAUUUCACAGAUAAAGAUGGCCUUGCGAAGCGGAGGUGCGGUUUUAGAAGCGGAUAUCAGCAAGAGCCCUCGAUUUAUUACAAGCUUUUAUUUAACUUGCAAUGUACCUAUGUAAGUAUGUAUGUAACAUGUUUGUAAGGGUCAAAUCUUGCAAAUUAAAUUUGACCCACUUCCCGGUUUCCGAUGAAGCUGAAAAUUUGCAUACAUAUGUAAGUCGGCUGUAUGUCAAUGCAAUAUUAUGGUACCAUCGAGCUGAUCUGAUGAUGAAGACAAGAGGUGGUCAUAGGAACUCUGUGAUAAAACAACGCAACCUAAUUGUGAUUGGAGCUUUUAGAAUUGUCUUGAUGAGUA
Long non-coding RNA from Cydia strobilella, 725 nucleotides. RefSeq lists it as uncharacterized. The record is from RefSeq and is a predicted model, not a curated record. The transcript is spliced from 3 exons. NCBI's taxonomy places the organism in Eukaryota, Metazoa, Arthropoda, Insecta, Lepidoptera, Tortricidae.